RNAcentral lists this ribosomal RNA (433 nucleotides) under uncultured bacterium. RNAcentral describes it as "partial 16S ribosomal RNA". It matches the Rfam family "Bacterial small subunit ribosomal RNA", at positions 29 to 507 of the family's 1533-position model. The record is from RNAcentral.
AACGAACGCUGGCGGCAUGCCUAACACAUGCAAGUCGAACGAGACCUUCGGGUCUAGUGGCGCACGGGUGCGUAACGCGUGGGAACCUGCCCUUAGGUUCGGAAUAACUCCCCGAAAGGGGUGCUAAUACCGGAUAAUGUCUUCGGACCAAAGAUUUAUCGCCUUUGGAUGGGCCCGCGUUGGAUUAGCUAGUUGGUAGGGUAAAAGCCUACCAAGGCGACGAUCCAUAGCUGGUCUGAGAGGAUGAUCAGCCACACUGGGACUGAGACACGGCCCAGACUCCUACGGGAGGCAGCAGUGGGGAAUAUUGGACCAUGGGCGCAAGCCUGAUCCAGCAAUGCCGCGUGAGUGAUGAAGGCCUUAGGGUUGUAAAGCUCUUUUACCCGGGAUGAUAAUGACAGUACCGGGAGAAUAAGCGCCGGCUAACUCCGUG